This is a long non-coding RNA of Pan paniscus (pygmy chimpanzee), 271 nucleotides long. The record is from Ensembl. NCBI's taxonomy places the organism in Eukaryota, Metazoa, Chordata, Mammalia, Primates, Hominidae.
GCAAAAUGAAACAGAAAUUAUAAAAUAUGAUUGUUGCUUUAAAUCUUUUAUAAAAAAGAAAGAAGAAAUGAAUGGAUGAAUGAAGGAAAAUGGUAAAAGUCAGUGGGAUCUUUUCAAGGAAUGUCAGGAAUCAACUUUCCUGUAGGAAGAAAAUGCAGUUACAGGUGAAGCUCUGAACUGGGGAAAGUGCAGCCACUGAUAUUUUGCAAAAGGAGUAAGCAUCCAGACCUACAGGCCCCUAGAAAACAAUAAGAAAAAGAAAAUUGCCAUG